This 132-nucleotide non-coding RNA is filed under the name Trichobilharzia regenti. RNAcentral's name for it is "Eukaryotic large subunit ribosomal RNA". It matches the Rfam family "Eukaryotic large subunit ribosomal RNA", at positions 819 to 950 of the family's 3401-position model. The record is from Rfam by way of RNAcentral. Lineage: Eukaryota; Metazoa; Platyhelminthes; Trematoda; Strigeidida; Schistosomatidae.
AAAGAUGGUAGAUUAUGUUUCUAAAAGUUGAACCUAGAGGAAACUCUGGUGGAAGGUGUUAGUGAUUCUGACGUGCAGGUCGAUCAUAUAAAGGAAGUAUAGGGGAGAAAGACUAACCAAACCAUUUAGUAC